GAGCGCCGUAGCAAUACGGAGCGGCAGACGGGAGAGUAACACGUGGGAACGUACCCUUUGGUUCGGAACAACCCCAGGGAAACUUGGGCUAAUACCGGAUACGUCCGCAAGGAGAAAGAUUUAUUGCCGAAGGAUCGGCCCGCGUCCGAUUAGCUAGUUGGUGGGGUAAUGGCCCACCAAGGCGACGAUCGGUAGCUGGUCUGAGAGGAUGAUCAGCCUCACUGGGACUGAGACACGGCCCAGACUCCUACGGGAGGCAGCAGUGGGGAAUAUUGGACAAUGGGCGCAAGCCUGAUCCAGCCAUGCCGCGUGGGUGAUGAAGGCCUUAGGGUUGUAAAGCCCUUUCGGCGGGGAAGAUAAUGACGGUACCCGCAGAAGAAGCCCCGGCUAACUUCGUG
This 398-nucleotide ribosomal RNA is filed under the name uncultured bacterium. RNAcentral's name for it is "bacterial SSU rRNA". It matches the Rfam family "Bacterial small subunit ribosomal RNA", at positions 64 to 507 of the family's 1533-position model. The record is from RNAcentral.